RNAcentral lists this small RNA (29 nucleotides) under Bombyx mori (domestic silkworm). RNAcentral's name for it is "ovarian small RNA-13746". The record is from RNAcentral. Lineage: Eukaryota; Metazoa; Arthropoda; Insecta; Lepidoptera; Bombycidae.
CCCUGUGGCGCAGAGGAUAGCGCUUUGGA